RNAcentral lists this ribosomal RNA (253 nucleotides) under uncultured bacterium. RNAcentral describes it as "partial 16S ribosomal RNA". It matches the Rfam family "Bacterial small subunit ribosomal RNA", at positions 524 to 776 of the family's 1533-position model. The record is from RNAcentral.
UACGUAGGGUGCAGGCGUUAAUCGGAAUUACUGGGCGUAAAGCGUGCGCAGGCGGUUUGCUAAGUCAGGUGUGAAAUCCCCGGGCUUAACCUGGGAACUGCGCUUGUAACUGGCAAGCUGGAGUGUGGCAGAGGGGGGUGGAAUUCCACGUGUAGCAGUGAAAUGCGUAGAGAUGUGGAGGAACACCGAUGGCGAAGGCAGCCCCCUGGGCUAACACUGACGCUCAUGCACGAAAGCGUGGGGAGCAAACAGG